This 497-nucleotide ribosomal RNA is filed under the name uncultured bacterium. RNAcentral describes it as "partial 16S ribosomal RNA". It matches the Rfam family "Bacterial small subunit ribosomal RNA", at positions 28 to 507 of the family's 1533-position model. The record is from RNAcentral.
GAUGAACGCUGGCGGCGUGCCUAAUACAUGCAAGUCGAGCGAACAGAUGAGGAGCUUGCUCCUCUGACGUUAGCGGCGGACGGGUGAGUAACACGUGGAUAACCUACCUAUAAGACUGGGAUAACUUCGGGAAACCGGAGCUAAUACCGGAUAAUAUAUUGAACCGCAUGGUUCAAUAGUGAAAGACGGUUUUGCUGUCACUUACAGAUGGAUCCGCGCCGCAUUAGCUAGCUGGUAAGGUAACGGCUUACCAAGGCAACGAUGCGUAGCCGACCUGAGAGGGUGAUCGGCCACACUGGAACUGAGACACGGUCCAGACUCCUACGGGAGGCAGCAGUAGGGAAUCUUCCGCAAUGGGCGAAAGCCUGACGGAGCAACGCCGCGUGAGUGAUGAAGGUCUUCGGAUCGUAAAACUCUGUUAUUAGGGAAGAACAAAUGUGUAAGUAACUAUGCACGUCUUGACGGUACCUAAUCAGAAAGCCACGGCUAACUACGUG